GACGAACGCUGGCGGCGUGCUUAACACAUGCAAGUCGAACGAAGAGCGAUGGAAGCUUGCUUCUAUCAAUCUUAGUGGCGAACGGGUGAGUAACGCGUAAUCAACCUGCCCUUCAGAGGGGGACAACAGUUGGAAACGACUGCUAAUACCGCAUACGAUCUAAUCUCGGCAUCGAGGUUAGAUGAAAGGUGGCCUCUACAUGUAAGCUAUCACUGAAGGAGGGGAUUGCGUCUGAUUAGCUAGUUGGAGGGGUAACGGCCCACCAAGGCGAUGAUCAGUAGCCGGUCUGAGAAGAUGAACGGCCACAUUGGGACUGAGACACGGCCCAGACUCCUACGGGAGGCAGCAGUGGGGAAUCUUCCGCAAUAGACGAAAGUCUGACGGAGCAACGCCGCGUGAGUGAUGACGGCCUUCGGGUUGUAAAGCUCUGUUAAUCGGGACGAAAGGCCUUCUUGCGAAUAGUGAGAAGGAUUGACGGUACCGGAAUAGAAAGCCACGGCUAACUACGUG
Molecule: ribosomal RNA, 510 nt
Filed under: uncultured bacterium
Lineage: Bacteria
Description: partial 16S ribosomal RNA
Rfam family: Bacterial small subunit ribosomal RNA
Source: RNAcentral